Long non-coding RNA from Manihot esculenta (cassava), 1364 nucleotides. RefSeq lists it as uncharacterized. Lineage: Eukaryota; Viridiplantae; Streptophyta; Magnoliopsida; Malpighiales; Euphorbiaceae. The transcript is spliced from 4 exons. The record is from RefSeq and is a predicted model, not a curated record.
GGUUAUAAUGAUUAUAGAAAUUGAUUAAGAAAAGUAUUCCAUCUUAUCUUUAAUUAAUAAAAAUUUAAUAUCCCGAAGGAUCUGUUUAAAGGAAAAAGGUUUGCUUCUUGGAGCAUUCAUGGGUUGGAAACUCCUAUAUUUUCUGGAAUUGUGGAGCCGUGUUUAAGCAUGAUGCCUCUUCAAAGCUGGGCUUGUGAAAGAGGCACCAGCCCAACAACACUUCGUCGUCUACUUGUGUGCUGAAACGCCAGAUAUCAUUAUUUCUGGCGCAAAGCAUUCGAUUCUCGCAGUCCCUCAAAAUCCAUGUACGAUUACCCAAUUUACUCCGUCAAGGCUUCUUCUCUAGUUUUGCUUUAGCGGAACUAACCUAAUGGUGAACUCAAUAUGUUUAUUUUUCAAUAAUGGAUGCAAAUGCAUUAGCAAAAUCGAAGAGGGCUCACUCGCUAACCCAUUGCAAAAAGCUCCAUUCUGCUCCAAAAUCAAAACUCCCGGGAACUGGAAAUAAGGCAUUGGUGGAAGCAAGCUAAGGAGAAGCUCCCCAGUCUGGUCUCCCUUCAAAUCGGGAUCGUUAUGAGGAAGAAUUCGAUUCAGAUGGCUUCACCACUGAGGCCAUUCUAUUGUUGUUUUUUUCUUCUUUCUUUUUUCUGAUAACUUUGUUGAUACAUGGCAUGAAAUUUUUGGUGUAUCACUGUCACAGGGGACUUUAAACUUGUAGUAGGGUCUUUCUAUCAGUCAGGGAAGAGAGCAUUCUAUCGUGGAUUGGGGAUGAUGAUUUUGUUGUAGAGAAUGAAACAGCUGUGACUGAGAAUUCAAAGUGGUUUCUGUUUCAGAACCCAAGAAGAAACUAUCCACAUUUCAGGCCUGAGCUGCUGAGGCAGAACUGGAUAUGCUUCUCGACUCAUUUAGUGAGACAAAGCUGCUUGAUUCUUCUGGGUUCACGUUUGCUGCUGCCCCUGUGCACCAAAAAGAGGCCUCUGUACAUCUGCCAAAACAUACAAGAAACACCCUGGGUUCUUUGAAAUCAACACCACUUUCUGCCAAACUAGAUGAUGGGCUCGAUGAUGUCCAAUUUAUCAGACUGCCCACCGUGAAAUUCAAUCAUCUUCCUUUCAGCCUGUAACCAAGUCUAAAGUUUUGGAUGAUUUUGGAUUCAUGGUUAGAUACAGUUUGAAUCCCUCACUUGUGCAUUCUUACUUCUUGUGUUUCCACUGCUACUUAUUCAUUACAUAGCUUCACCCUUUUGUUCAUCUUUCAACUGGAAGCCUGAAGACAGAUUCUAAUUAAUCUUGUUUUCAAUCAUAAUUUUGUCUGAGAUGGGAUUGGAUUUGGGUUUUAUUUUAUUUUGAUUUUGAUUUUCAUUUUCA